This 253-nucleotide ribosomal RNA is filed under the name uncultured bacterium. Its description in RNAcentral is "partial 16S ribosomal RNA". It matches the Rfam family "Bacterial small subunit ribosomal RNA", at positions 524 to 776 of the family's 1533-position model. The record is from RNAcentral.
AACGUAGGAGACAAACGUUAUCCGGAGUUACUGGGCGUAAAGGGCGUGUAGGUGGUUUUGUAAGUCUGGCGUGAAAUCCCUCGGCUUAACCGGGGAACUGCGCCCGAUACUGGAUGGCUUGAGUUUGGGAGAGGGAUGCGGAAUUCCAGGUGUAGCGGUGAAAUGCGUAGAUAUCUGGAGGAACACCGGUGGCGAAGGCGGCAUCCUGGACCAACACUGACGCUGAUGAGCGAAAGCCAGGGGAGCAAACGGG